GCCUGGGUGGCUCAGUCGGUCGAGAGUCUGACUUCGGCUCAGGUCAUGAUCUCACAGUUUGUGAGUUCGAGCCCCACAUCAGGCU
This 85-nucleotide transfer RNA is filed under the name Felis catus (domestic cat). It matches the Rfam family "tRNA". From Rfam's summary of the family: Transfer RNA (tRNA) molecules are approximately 80 nucleotides in length. Their secondary structure includes four short double-helical elements and three loops (D, anti-codon, and T loops). Further hydrogen bonds mediate the characteristic L-shaped molecular structure. tRNAs have two regions of fundamental functional importance: the anti-codon, which is responsible for specific mRNA codon recognition, and the 3' end, to which the tRNAs corresponding amino acid is attached (by aminoacyl-tRNA synthetases). tRNAs cope with the degeneracy of the genetic code in two manners: having more than one tRNA (with a specific anti-codon) for a particular amino acid; and 'wobble' base-pairing, i.e. permitting non-standard base-pairing at the 3rd anti-codon position. The record is from Rfam by way of RNAcentral. Lineage: Eukaryota; Metazoa; Chordata; Mammalia; Carnivora; Felidae.